GUUUGAAAAGCACUAAAUGGAUGAUGUGGAAAAGUGAAAUAAUAAUAUUGCAGAUGCAGGCAUGAAAUCUGGAUUAAUAUUUUUGGGGGAGUCAAAGUAAGCUGCACUGGAAAGACUGAAAGCAAACAAACAAACAAACAAAAAACAAAAAACAGAAAAACAAAACAAAACAGAACAAAGCAAAAACAACAGAUGGUCCAUCUGGAUUGGACAGGAGAUUUUCACUUGAAGGCUCCACCAGUCCUCUUUCUAUUAAGUGGGCUAAUUGGGAAGUAUUAUUGAGCUGCUGUGGUGACCAGUGUGGAGUAGAGCCUUAACCUAGAUGGAGAGAUUCUGUAUAAGCAUCUUCUGAAUGGGAGAGGUCUGUCCAUCCAGUCAGAAGCAGCAGGAGACAGGACGAGAGACAGGGCUGGAGAUGACCUACAGUGCAUGCCUGAAAGGUUCAUGUGGAAGACUCCAGGUUCUCCUGAAAGGAAAGGGACAUCUGUCUGAAGAAAUUUAGCCUGGGCAGAAAAGAGGCUGAGCACAUGGCUUUCCCUGCUAUGUCUCAAGGCUCUGUGAAACACCAUACAGGUGAAAAAAGAUCUGUCAGUGCAGUGUUACAAGAAGCAGAACAUACAUUCGCAGCCUGAACAAAAGUUAAAUUGAGGAUGUGGUGUGGUACAGUAUUUGCUUGGACUGAUAAUUUCUGGCUGGUCAAGGUCUGAACACUUUGAAUGGACUUCUUUUGGCAUUUGGAUGUACC
This 745-nucleotide long non-coding RNA is filed under the name Anas platyrhynchos platyrhynchos (common mallard). RNAcentral's name for it is "lncRNA (ENSAPLG00000029290.1)". The record is from RNAcentral. Lineage: Eukaryota; Metazoa; Chordata; Aves; Anseriformes; Anatidae.